UGAGCAGCGAACGGGUGAGUAACGCGUGGGGAAUCUGCCUUUGAGCGGGGGACAACAUUUGGAAACGAAUGCUAAUACCGCAUAAUAGCUUUAAACAUAAGUUUUUAGUUUGAAAGAUGCAAAUGCAUCACUCAAAGAUGAUCCCGCGUUGUAUUAGCUAGUUGGUGAGGUAAAGGCUCACCAAGGCGAUGAUACAUAGCCGACCUGAGAGGGUGAUCGGCCACAUUGGGACUGAGACACGGCCCAAACUCCUACGGGAGGCAGCAGUAGGGAAUCUUCGGCAAUGGACGAAAGUCUGACCGAGCAACGCCGCGUGAGUGAAGAAGGUUUUCGGAUCGUAAAACUCUGUUGUUAGAGAAGAACGACGAGGAGAGUGGAAAGCUCCUCGUGUGACGGUAUCUAACCAGAAAGGGACGGCUAACUACGUGCCAGCAGCCGCGGUAAUACGUAGGUCCCGAGCGUUGUCCGGAUUUAUUGGGCGUAAAGCGAGCGCAGGUGGUUUAUUAAGUCUGGUGUAAAAGGCAGUGGCUCAACCAUUGUAUGCAUUGGAAACUGGUAGACUUGAGUGCAGGAGAGGAGAGUGGAAUUCCAUGUGUAGCGGUGAAAUGCGUAGAUAUAUGGAGGAACACCGGUGGCGAAAGCGGCUCUCUGGCCUGUAACUGACACUGAGGCUCGAGAGCGUGGGGAGCAGACACG
This 696-nucleotide ribosomal RNA is filed under the name Lactococcus sp. Its description in RNAcentral is "bacterial SSU rRNA". It matches the Rfam family "Bacterial small subunit ribosomal RNA", at positions 92 to 776 of the family's 1533-position model. Lineage: Bacteria; Bacillati; Bacillota; Bacilli; Lactobacillales; Streptococcaceae. The record is from RNAcentral.